AUUCCAUGUCUUUUCAGUAACGAUUUGUUAUAACGAAUUAUUGCGCGGGUGUAGUAUUGUAUUAGGGAAGCACCUAAUAACCGAUAUAGAAUUCGUAUAUCAUCAUAAUGGUUUUUGUAUAUAUUCACUAUAAGUCGCUCUCUAUACGAUAAACAAAUAACAAGCAUAGCCGAACAAAUCCUAUCAGAAAGACAUGUAAUGGCUCUUAGAUUAAAGAAAAUGAUUAGCUAGAUGAAGUAAAACGAGUUGAAAAGUGUCCGUACAUAGACUAAUGUUGCUAGAAUUCAGGACUUUCUGAUGUUUGUACCUUCAAAAUUGGACUUUGUUUGUGGUAACAUAUCACACAUCAAGUGAGUAAAAAAACA
Non-coding RNA from Schizosaccharomyces pombe (fission yeast), 365 nucleotides. Lineage: Eukaryota; Fungi; Ascomycota; Schizosaccharomycetes; Schizosaccharomycetales; Schizosaccharomycetaceae. The record is from the annotation of a GenBank genome assembly.